AUUAGAUACCCUGGGUAGUCCACGCAGUAAACGAUGAAUGCCGGCUGUUCGGGCCAACUGAGGCCUGAGUGGCGAAGCGAAAGCGAUAAGCAUUCCACCUGGGGAGUACGCCGGCAACGGUGAAACUCAAAGGAAUUGACGGGGGCCCGCACAAGCGGAGGAACAUGUGGUUUAAUUCGAUGAUACGCGAGGAACCUUACCCGGGCUCAAACGGGAGAUGACAGGCGCAGAGACGCGCUCUUCCACGGACAUCUUCCGAGGUGCUGCAUGGUUGUCGUCAGCUCGUGCCGUGAGGUGUCGGCUUAAGUGCCAUAACGAGCGCAACCCCCGCGGGCAGUUGCCAUCAGGUGAUGCUGGGGACUCUGCCCGGACUGCCGGCGCAAGCCGCGAGGAAGGCGGGGAUGACGUCAAAUCAGCACGGCCCUUACGUCCGGGGCGACACACGUGUUACAAUGGCAGGUACAGCGGGAAGCCACCUGGCGACAGGGCGCGGAACCCGAAAACCUGUCUCAGUUCGGAUUGGAGUCUGCAACCCGACUCCAUGAAGCUGGAUUCGCUAGUAAUCGCGCAUCAGCCACGGCGCGGUGAAUACGUUCCCGGGCCUUGUACACACCGCCCGUCAAGCCAUGGAAGCCGGGAGUGCCUGAAGUGCGUGACCGCAAGGAGCGUCCUAAGGCAAUACCGGUGACUGGGGCUAAGUCGUAACAAGGUACC
This 714-nucleotide ribosomal RNA is filed under the name uncultured bacterium. RNAcentral's name for it is "bacterial SSU rRNA". It matches the Rfam family "Bacterial small subunit ribosomal RNA", at positions 777 to 1500 of the family's 1533-position model. The record is from RNAcentral.